RNAcentral lists this transfer RNA (72 nucleotides) under Oscillospiraceae bacterium. RNAcentral's name for it is "tRNA-Trp". It matches the Rfam family "tRNA". Rfam says of the family: Transfer RNA (tRNA) molecules are approximately 80 nucleotides in length. Their secondary structure includes four short double-helical elements and three loops (D, anti-codon, and T loops). Lineage: Bacteria; Bacillati; Bacillota; Clostridia; Eubacteriales; Oscillospiraceae. The record is from RNAcentral.
AGGGGUAUGAUGUAAUUGGUAACAUGCCGGUCUCCAAAACCGUUCUUACGGGUUCAAGUCCUGUUACCCCUG